Molecule: small RNA, 3638 nt
Filed under: Pongo abelii (Sumatran orangutan)
Lineage: Eukaryota; Metazoa; Chordata; Mammalia; Primates; Hominidae
Description: retained intron
Source: RNAcentral
AGAAUCCAGGGGACGGUUGCUGAGCGGGCCUGGGACACCGGGUCGCGGCGCCUCCCGCCCGCGCGUGUCUAAUCCAUCUGUCGGGUCCCGAAAGAGCUAAGCCGAGCCUGCGCCGGACGGGUGGGCUGGACUGAGAGAAUUCUCUGAGCUGGUGACAGGUGCCACAGGCACUGGGGAUCUCACCAGAAAGGAACCGACGGAGCUAGGGGCCAGCGAGAUGGCGGACGAGGCCUUAGCUGGGCUGGAUGAGGGAGCCCUUCGGAAGCUGCUGGAGGUCACAGCGGAUCUGGCAGAGCGGCGGCGCAUCCGCUCAGCCAUCCGGGAACUGCAGCGGCAGGAGCUGGAGCGUGAGGAGGAGGCCCUGGCAUCCAAGCGUUUCCGUGCCGAGCGGCAGGACAACAAGGAGAACUGGCUGCACCCACAUCCUCCACGACCUGGCCGUGGCAGUAGUGGUUACAGUCAUGAUGUCUCUGCAGCUCUCGGCAGCGGGAAGCUGAGCAGCGGGCUGCCCUGGCACGGCUGGCAGGGCAGCUGGAGUCCAUGAACGAUGUGGAAGAAUUGACUGCACUGUUGCGAAGCGCUGGUGAGUAUGAGGAGCGCAAGCUGAUCCGAGCUGCCAUCCGCCGUGUACGGGCUCAGGAGAUUGAGGCUGCCACCUUGGCUGGGAGGUUGUGCGGCGGGCGUCCCAACAGUGGCUCAAGAGAGGACAGCAAGGGGCGAGCGGCACACAGGCUGGAACAGUGUGAGGUGCCAGAGCGAGAGGAACAGGAACAGCAGGUAGAGGUCUCAAAGCCAACCCCCACCCCUGAAGGCACCAGCCAGGAUGUGACCACAGUGACACUCCUGCUGCGAGCCCCACCUGGGAGCACAUCCAGCUCACCUGCCUCACCCAGCAGUUCACCCACCCCUGCCUCUCCUGAGCCUCCAUUGGAGACUGCCGAGGCCCAGUGCCUUACAGCUGAGGUUCCAGGCAGCGCAGAGCCACCCCCCAGCCCACCCAAGACCACCAGCCCUGAGCCUCAGGAGUCUCCAGCGCUCCCCAGCACUGAGGGCCAGGUGGUCAACAAGCUUCUGUCUGGCCCCAAAGAGACCCCGGCUGCCCAGAGCCCCACCAGAGGCCCCUCUGACACCAAGAGAGCAGACGUGGCUGGACCCCGACCCUGCCAACGCUCCCUGUCCGUGCUCAGCCCCCGCCAACCAGCCCAGAACCGAGAGUCCACCCCCCUUGCCAGCGGACCUUCCUCGUUCCAGCGGGCUGGCUCUGUGCGGGACCGUGUCCACAAGUUCACAUCUGAUUCUCCUAUGGCUGCUAGGCUCCAGGAUGGCAUGCCCCGGGCUGCCCUAAGUCCCCUGACCCCCGCAAGGCUCCUGGGCCCCUCCCUCACCAGCACCACCCCUGCCUCCUCCUCCAGCGGCUCCUCCUCUCGGGGCCCCAGUGAUACCUCCUCCCGGUUCAGCAAGGAGCAACGAGGAGGAGCCCAGCCCCUGGCCCAGCUUCGAAGCUGCCCCCAGGAGGAGGGCCCCAGGGGGCGGGGCUUGGCUGCUAGGCCCCUUGAAAACAGAGCAGGGGGGCCUGUGGCACGUUCAGAGGAGCCUGGUGCCCCGCUGCCCGUGGCCGUCGGCACUGCCGAGCCAGGGGGCGGUAUGAAGACCACAUUCACCAUCGAGAUCAAGGACGGCCGUGGCCAGGCCUCCACAGGCCGGGUGCUGCUGCCCACAGGCAACCAGAGGGCAGAACUGACACUGGGGCUGCGGGCGCCCCCGACCCUACUCAGCACCAGUAGUGGAGGCAAGAGCACCAUCACCCGUGUCAACAGCCCUGGGACCCUGGCUCGGCUGGGGAGUGUCACUCACGUCACCAGCUUCAGCCAUGCCCCCCCCAGUAGCCGAGGAGGCUGUAGCAUCAAGAUGGAACCAGAGCCAGCAGAGCCUCUCGCUGCAGCAGUGGAAGCGGCCAAUGGGGCUGAGCAGACCCGAGUGAACAAAGCACCAGAGGGGCGGAGCCCUCUGAGCGCUGAGGAGCUGAUGACUAUUGAGGAUGAAGGAGUCUUGGACAAGAUGGUAUGGCCAGAUCCAGUGGGCUGGGGGUUGGCAGAGGUCAGCAGGCACCAGGUAGGCAAUGACGGGCUCUAUAUGCAGCUGGAUCAGAGCACGGACUUUGAAGAGCGGAAGCUCAUCCGGGCCGCACUUCGUGAGCUCCGACAAAGGAAGAGAGACCAGCGGGACAAGGAGCGGGAACGGCGGCUGCAGGAGGCACGGGGCCGGCCAGGGGAGGGGCGAGGCAACACAGCCACUGAGACCACCACGAGGCACAGCCAGCGGGCAGCUGAUGGCUCUGCUGUCAGCACUGUUACCAAGACUGAGCGGCUCGUCCACUCCAAUGAUGGCACACGGACGGCCCGCACCACCACAGUGGAGUCGAGUUUCGUGAGGCGCUCGGAGAGUAAGGCCACCUGGCGUCGCCCUGUGCCUGCCUGCCUGUCCGCCCACCUCCUCCAGCUCUUCCUUGAGCUCUCUCUCUGUGUCUUCAACUGUGCCGUCACUUUCUCUUCUCUGCCUGCGGCUAUCACCACCCCUCCAUACAGCCUCCCAUCCCAUCUCCUGAUGUCCAGCCCAGGCCCUCACCUGGUGCCCCUUCCCCUUUUUUGCAGAUGGCAGUGGCAGCACCAUGAUGCAAACCAAGACCUUCUCCUCUUCCUCUUCAUCCAAGAAGAUGGGCAGCAUCUUUGACCGCGAGGACCAGGCCAGCCCACGGGCCGGCAGCCUGGCGGCGCUCGAGAAACGGCAGGCCGAGAAGAAGAAAGAGCUGAUGAAGGCGCAGAGUCUGCCCAAGACCUCAGCCUCCCAGGCGCGCAAGGCCAUGAUUGAGAAGCUGGAGAAGGAGAGCGCGGCCGGCAGCCCUGGCGGACCCCGCGCAGCCGUGCAGCGAUCCACCAGCUUCGGGGUCCCCAACGCCAACAGCAUCAAGCAGAUGCUGCUGGACUGGUGCCGAGCCAAGACUCGCGGCUACGAGCACGUCGACAUCCAGAACUUCUCCUCCAGCUGGAGUGAUGGGAUGGCCUUCUGUGCCCUGGUGCACAACUUCUUCCCUGAGGCCUUCGACUAUGGGCAGCUUAGCCCUCAGAACCGACGCCAGAACUUCGAGGUGGCCUUCUCAUCUGCGGAGACCCAUGCGGACUGCCCGCAGCUCCUGGAUACAGAGGACAUGGUGCGGCUUCGAGAGCCUGACUGGAAGUGCGUGUACACGUACAUCCAGGAGUUCUACCGCUGUCUGGUCCAGAAGGGGCUGGUAAAAACCAAAAAGUCCUAACCCCUGCUCGGGGCCCCACGGAUGCUGGUGGACUGUGUGCCCCUGGUGGAGGUGGAGGACAUGAUGAUCAUGGGCAAGAAGCCUGACCCCAAGUGUGUCUUCACCUAUGUGCAGUCGCUCUACAACCACCUGCGACGCCACGAACUGCGCCUACGCGGCAAGAAUGUCUAGCCUCCCCGCCCGCAUGGCCAGCCAGUGGCAAGCUGCCGCCCCCACUCUCCGGGCACCGUCCCCUCCCUGUGCGUCCGCCCACCGCUGCCCUGUCUGUUGCGACACCCUCCCCUCCACAUACACACGCAGCGUUUUGAUAAAUUAUUGGUUUUCAACG